This 311-nucleotide long non-coding RNA is filed under the name Capsicum annuum. RNAcentral's name for it is "long non-coding RNA (CANN_LNC010225)". The record is from RNAcentral. Lineage: Eukaryota; Viridiplantae; Streptophyta; Magnoliopsida; Solanales; Solanaceae.
UGAAAAAAUAUAUGAAAACUAUGAAGGAUCAAAAAUAAAAAUAGUAUUUUCUAAUUUAGGACGAAGAUAUAAGAAAAUAGGUGAACAUUUAUAUCUAAUGUUAGAAAAAGAAGAAUUAAAAUUAGAAGAUAAAUUAACAGCAAUGGUAAGAAUAGAAAAAGAAAAUGAAGAGAUAGAUAGGAAAAAAGAAAUAGAAAAAAUAAAACAACAAACUACGGAAGAAAUACGAAAAAUAGAAGAAACCAAAAAUAGUAGAAUUGCUGAAUUAGAAAAAGAAUUACAAAUGUUAAAAGAACUGUAUGAACAAAGAC